GAAUCAACGCUGGCGGCGUGCCUAACACAUGCAAGUCGAACGCGAAAGUCCCGAAAGGGAUGAGUAGAGUGGCAAACGGGUGAGUAACGCGUGGGUGACCUGCCUUCGAGUGGGGAUAACGUUCCGAAAGGACGCUAAUACCGCAUGACAUCCUGCUUUUGAAGGGUGGAGAUCAAAGCCGGGGAUCGCAAGACCUGGCGCGUCGAAGACGGGGCCCGCGUCCGAUUAGCUAGUUGGUGGGGAACGCUCACCAA
This 254-nucleotide ribosomal RNA is filed under the name uncultured bacterium. RNAcentral's name for it is "partial 16S ribosomal RNA". It matches the Rfam family "Bacterial small subunit ribosomal RNA", at positions 27 to 271 of the family's 1533-position model. The record is from RNAcentral.